Molecule: ribosomal RNA, 266 nt
Filed under: uncultured bacterium
Lineage: Bacteria
Description: partial 16S ribosomal RNA
Rfam family: Bacterial small subunit ribosomal RNA
Source: RNAcentral
AUGGCGACCGGCGCACGGGUGAGUAACACGUAUCCAACCUGCCGAUGACUCGGGGAUAGCCUUUCGAAAGAAAGAUUAAUACCCGAUGGCAUAGUUCUUCCGCAUGGUGGAACUAUUAAAGAAUUUCGGUCAUCGAUGGGGAUGCGUUCCAUUAGGUUGUUGGCGGGGUAACGGCCCACCAAGCCUUCGAUGGAUAGGGGUUCUGAGAGGAAGGUCCCCCACAUUGGGACUGAGACACGGUCCAAACUCCUACGGGAGGCAGCAUG